Molecule: long non-coding RNA, 3139 nt
Organism: Gadus morhua (Atlantic cod)
Lineage: Eukaryota; Metazoa; Chordata; Actinopteri; Gadiformes; Gadidae
Source: Ensembl
GACAAAGCAGAGAAAGGCAAAAACAGUUGUUGAGUCUGGUGAAGAAAAUGAUGACACACAUGAAGGGGACGACAAAAUGACAACGCAAACACCACCAACAGUUGAAGAACUCACCGAAAGUGACAGUGAAGAACAACUUUCAGCGACAAUGACAAGAAGGAGAAAAGUAAAAACAGCUGUUUACUCUGGAGAUGAAAGUGAUGACACAAAUGAAGGAGAUUUCAAAAUUACAAUUCAACCAUCACCAACAGUUGAAGAACUCACCGAAAGUGACAGUGAAGAACAACUUUCAGCGACAAUGACAAGAAGGAGAAAAGUAAAAACAGCUGUUGACUCUGGAGAAGAAAGUGAUGACACAAAUGAAGGAGAUUUCAAAAUUACAAUUCAACCAUCACCAACAGUUGAAGAACUCACCGAAAGUGACAGUGAAGAACAACUUUCAGCGACAAUGACAAGAAGGAGAAAAGUAAAAACAGCUGUUGACUCUGGAGAAGAAAGUGAUGACACAAAUGAAGGAGAUUUCAAAAUUACGAUUCAACCAUCACCAACAGUUGAAGAACUCACCGAAAGUGACAGUGAAGAACAACUUUCAGCGACAAUGACAAGAAGGAGAAAAGUAAAAACAGCUGUUUACUCUGGAGAAGAAAGUGAUGACACAAAUGAAGGAGAUUUCAAAAUUACAAAUCAACCAUCACCAACAGUUCAAGAACUCACAGAAAGUGACAAUGAAGAAGAACAAAUUUCGGAGACAAAGGGAGAAGAGCACACAAAAAAAAAUGAUAAAGAGGACACGUACAGGACGUGCGUAGUCGGUCCAAAAGAAUUCAAAUUUAAGGUCGCAAGAAAAAAUUGGAUAAAAAUAAAGCCGGAAAAGGGAAAAAGACAACUGAGACCCCCAUGGACCGAUAUAUUCUACAAUGAAUUUAGAAAAAGCAACCCAUCGUGCACAUUGGCCUUUAAGUACCAAAAUAUUAGAACACGUGACAGCCGGAAAAAAAAAUCACCAUACCUCCGCGCCACAGCCAAGUGCACGUUUGAAGGUUGUGAGGCGGUUUACACUUUCACCAGGAAAGGCCCACCAAAAUACAACGCAAAAAAGAUUACUGUCAUGGUGACACGGUUUGGGGAAGUCAAACACCUUAAGUCUCAGAGAAAAUGUAGGCCUGCAAGAUACCUCAGGAGAGGAAAAAUAGCAAAAGCAGUAAAAAGUGGUGUGAGCAACUGCUAUUACGAAUUGCUGAAAAACACACCUGUGGAGGAGAUCAUGGCUGGUAACAUAACCAGAAGCCUCACAAAAGACGUGUUAAAAAUCAUAUCUUACGAGAUCAGAAGCGUUGCAAGGCUUCACAAUGACCAAUUGUUGGAGCUAAUGCUCACUCAGAGGAUUAUCAGAGAGAGUGGUCGGCAAACUCGGCAUGCAUCAUCGAACGGCUAUCUGCAGCUCCUCCAGAUUGACCCUUUUGCAACCCACUUAUACACUGAUGCGGGCCUGCAAAUUUUGGCUGAACAUUUGAGAGGACCCAUGCCCACUACCCUAUACCUCGAUGCAACAGGUGGGGUAGUUCAGAAAGUACCCCAUCAGUCAAAAAGAGUUCUCUAUUAUGCCCUGGUUCUGCCUGGAAUGGGCAAGGACAAGCCGCCUUUGCCAGUCGCGGAGUUCGUGACUAACAGCCAUAGUGUUCCAUCAAUAUCGCACUGGCUUAUGGAGUUCAAUAGGAGGCUGUCCCACAUUACCGGGAGAAAAAUUGCACAAAUAGAGACAGAUUACAGCUGGGCGUUGAUGAACAGUGUGCUCAUCUCUUUUAACCACGAGGAUGUCUCUGCAUACCUUUGCAGAGCAUUCGAAAUUGUGUCGGGACAACUCAAAGUCAUUCCAAAAUUCACUGUGCUCCAUUUGUGCUCUGCACAUAUACUUAAGGCAGUCUCCCAGGCCUUUGGGAGAACAACCAGUGACAGAGGCAUAAAGGAGUAUGCAACAUACAGUUUUGCAUACCUGCUGAACUGUACAAGCUUGCCAGAAGCACUUGAGGUUUUCUACCACAUGUGUGUGCUGUUUGAUGCAGAACAGCACACAGACUCAAUCAAUACCAGUGAAAGGUACCUGAAUGGCUGCAUUUUGCAGAGUCAACACAUGGAUAUUGAGGAAACACAAGAGGGGAGCAGGAUCUGUGAUUCCAGUGACCCUUCCAAUGGCAUUCUCGCAAGGUCCCCCUUCAUGCAGGCUUUUGACCUAAGAAGGGAGCAAGCCACAUGUGACGUCCUGUCUGAUGAGGAAGCAGACAAAAACAACAACUACCACUGCCCAGGUAUAAUAAAUGUCUUGCUUAAGACAUACAUGGGCAUCUUUCCCUUGUGGAGUGGUGUACUACUCGCUGAUCUAUCGAGGCACUCUAAAGGAUCUAUCACAAGAGGAACAGGGUGCAAAACACGGGAAACCAACUGCCAUGUCGAACUAUGGUUUAGGUUGGUGAAACACAGCAUUCUGUGCAAAAGAAAAUACCUCAGACCUGCAGAGUUUGUCUCUAAAAUGUUUGCCUCAGUGCAGGGGAGGUAUGUUGAACAUGUGAUUCAACAAAGCCUGCCAAUUGAUGUACUUCAGAGAAACCUUCAAAGCUCUGUUAAGCUGGAAGAUGACCCAGAAGAGCAAUGGUGUAAGAGGGACACCUCUUCUGGCAGUUCAAAGCGCAAGUCAAAAUAUUUCAAUCCUCCAAAAAACAUUCCAAACCCCAAGACCAAGACCAAAAGCAAGAAGAUCAUAAAAGUGGAGCAGAAUCAACGGGUUGAAGAUGCACAAUUAAACUUGCUGUGGAAAAAGAGGGGAACAGAGAUAAUUGUUGCAACCCUGCCAUCCCAAGUGAAGGGUCGGAGCCUCUUCAUCCACCACACUGAUCUACGGUGUCUACGACCCCACCUGUGGUUGACAGGAGAGGUAGGCGUAUUAAAAGCUCUUCCUCUCACUGCUAGUCUAUCUGUCUUUCAAUUUGUAGUCCUUCAAACUGAUGUAUUUGGAGGACUGAAGACCUCCAUUAACUCACACACACACACACACACACACACACACACACACACACACACACACACACACACACACACACACACACACACACACACACACACACACACACACACACACACGUAA